This 420-nucleotide ribosomal RNA is filed under the name uncultured bacterium. Its description in RNAcentral is "bacterial SSU rRNA". It matches the Rfam family "Bacterial small subunit ribosomal RNA", at positions 356 to 774 of the family's 1533-position model. The record is from RNAcentral.
AAGGAAUAUUUGUCAAUGGACGCAAGUCUGAACCAGCCAUGCCGCGUGAAGGAUGAAGGUCCUCUGGAUUGUAAACUUCUUUUAUCUGGGACGAAAACGGGAUUUUUAUCUCAAUUGACGGUACCAGAGGAAUAAGCACCGGCUAACUCCGUGCCAGCAGCCGCGGUAAUACGGAGGGUGCGAGCGUUAUCCGGAUUUACUGGGGUUAAAGGGUGCGUAGGUGGGCUUAUAAGUCAGUGGUGAAAUCUCCGGGCUUAACUUGGAAACUGCCGUUGAUACUAUAGGUCUUGAAUUAUCUGGAGGUAAGCGGAAUAUGUCAUGUAGCGGUGAAAUGCUUAGAUAUGACAUAGAACACCAAUUGCGAAGGCAGCUUACUACAUAUAAAUUGACGCUGAGGCACGAAAGCGUGGGGAUCAAACA